UAUUUCUGUUUUUUAUUUUUAAUACAUUCGCAAACAUUUCUAAACCUGUUUUCCAUUUUUCAUUAUGGUGCUUUGUGUGUAGAUUGAGAAUGUUUUUAUUUAAUCUGAGUCUGAAUACUUUCUGUGUGUGUGUGUGUGUGUGUAGAUUAUUUAUAAAGCCAGUCACAUUUAGCAGGUAGUCAAUUGAUUAUAGACCUAAUUAAGUUGGGGUUUCCUCUCCUAAUUUUCCUUAGACAAUUAAGGCAAUGGCUGUUUUCACGUCUCCUCACUUUCCUUAGACAAUAAGGUGAGGGCUGUUUCCUCUCUCAUCACUUUCCGUAGACAGUAAGGUGAGGGCUGUUUUCUCUCUCCUCACAUUCCUUAGACAAUAAGGUGAGGGCUGUUUCCUCUCUCCUCACUUUCCUUAGACAAUAAGGUGAGGGCUGUUUCCUCUCUCCUCACUUUCCUUAGACAAUAAGGUGAGGGCUGUUUCCUCUCUACUCACUUUUCUUAGACAAUAAGGUGAGGGCUGUUUCCUCUCUACUCACUUUUCUUAGACAAUAAGGUGAGGGCUGUUUCCUCUCUACUCACUUUUCUUAGACAAUAAGGUGAGAGCUGUUUCCUCUCUCCUCACUUUCCUUAGACAAUAAGGUGAGGGCUGUUUCCUCUCUCAUCACUUUCUGUAGACAAGGUGAGGGCUGUUUCCUCUCUCCUCACAUUUCUUAGACAAUUAAGGCAAUGGCUGUUUUCACGUCUCCUAACUCUGCCGCAUUGUUCGCCACACCAAUAUGCUGGUUAACUUUGCUCUUAUUCAUAUAGCAACAUGGUCUAGGAAAAGGUGCCAAUUCAACAGCGCAAUGUUCCAGAACCCUGGACAGUGACCGCUGUCUGGCGCGGGAGAAAGUGAAUUUGUUAUCAAACAAUGUUAUUUUUAUUGGUGUUGCGCCAUUGUUCUUACAAAAUAUAACAAUAUACAAUUUCAGUAGCACAUGUCUUAGAGUGAUGGACUGUGCCAUCCCCACAGCCUCCACAAUGGAGUAGUUCACUUACACACUUUUUUCUUUUGCUCGACCGAAGAAAUCUCGGUCUACCAACAGCCUAUCAAUCAACCAGUCGAAUAAGUGGGGGCAGCUCUAAUCCACAUAUAGAUGACAUUUACAAUUUAACAGAUUGACCAAUAGCAUUUAUGUAAAUAUUGAGAAGAACAGGUUCUAGUAUUGUCCCCUGUGGAACACCUUUAUGUAUUUCAAGAAUUUCGGACUUGACCCCAUCAAUCACCAUGGCCUUAGUUCCGUCACUAAGAUGUUCAUGAAAGCAUGAACAGGUGUCAGAGCUCAGGCCUAUCGAGGACAACUUAUUCAAUAACAUAGCAUGAUCAACCGUAUCAAAAGCUUUUGACAGGUCCACAAACAAAGCAGCACAUUUAAUUUUAGAGUCUAAAGCAUUGACAACCAAAGUGGCUGCUCUAAUAGUGCUAUGACCAGGCCUAAACCCUGAUUUGGUUUACAUUCUAAAUACAUUUCUCAGAUUAAAAAAAGGGCAAAGUUGUACAUUUACCAAUGAUUCAAGAAUCUUAGCUAGACAAAGAAGCGUUGAAAUUGGGCACUAAUUAUUUUUGAUCACUACUAUCCCCACCCUUAUGGAGUUGGCAGCACGAGAUGAUUUCCAUACUUUUGGAAUUUGUCCUGACAACAAUGUUAAACAAAAAAUGUGGGUUAUUGAGCCAACAAUGAUGGGCGCAGCACAAUUAAAUGAUUUGAUACUGAGAGGGCUACAUUGGACCUUUUUAACUAAAGGUGAUUGCUUUACCGUAACAUUCUAGAGGUGGGGGACUUGGUCAAAUUCCUUUCAACCUCAAAAGGACUGGACUGCUGUCUUCCAGCACCGAGGCGGGCCCUUUCCCCUGAGCAUGGAGUUUUCCCAAACUUCCUCUAUUUCGAAUCAAGUAUCAGGAUUUCAUGGUUUUUGACCCUACUCAUGGUUCGUUAGAUUGUUCAGCUACUUUGUGUAAAGUGUAAAACGGACACAUUUUUCUCGCUCUUGGAUUAACAUGUAUGAGUUUCUCUUCCUUUGAUCCACUGAUUGAAUCGUGAUAAGUAUUUAUGAAGUGAAGUUGGGUAGGCUUCGAAGGCUGAAAGAGAAUUAGCAUUAGAAAAAGUAAUUGUCCAUUAGGUUUGCACAAAAUGGAAAAUUUGCUUUGGCGCUCUUGGCAUUGAACGGAUAAAAAAAAUCUACAUAAAAACUUAAGGAUAAAAACACAUAAAAAUGCACAUUCCACACUGAGCUUUUCCAUGUCUGUUCACCAUAGAGGAUCGUCACUGCAGGGGGGAUGAAGGAUUGUUUUGUAAACUUUUUUUUUUUUUUUUGCAUGUGGCACCUUUAAUCUCCGACCGGGCGGCAGCAUGUUGAAGGGUGCGUGCUGUGGGUGGGUGUUUUCGUUGUGGACCUAGAGUUUUCCUUUUAUAGUGUUCUAUAUCUGGAAUAAGUCGAGGAGUAUGUAUACCUUCUGAAGGAAUUGUCGGUCACAAAGGCAUAUCAGUAGCAGGUGAGGUUGCACUGUGUUAAAGGCUGAGAAACUUCAUUAAUAAGAUCCUGACAUUAUCUUCUCACCUUAGGUGACUUCACUCCUACGUGAUGCUCGUCCCUCAACAGGUCUGUCUUGUAGGACAUGGAACUUUAAACAUUUAGAUUUUACUCAUCCGCCCAACACUAGUUCCUGAUUCUUAAAAUCACUCCGCUCUCAGUAGCUAAUAUGCGCUGGCUACUGCGGCAGACCAUGUUUGAUCAGCUGAGCAAGAGGGGAGGAGACAAAGCCAAAAUCUGUCCAAAAUAAGCAAUUCUAUGGUCUUAUUUUUUGAACCCUUAUUUUACCAUGUAAGUUGACUGAGAAUACAUUCACAUUUACAGCAAUGACCUAUGUAAUAGUUACAGGGGAGAGGAGGGGGGAUGAAUGACCCAAUUGUAAGCUGGGGAUGAUUAGGUGACCGUUUAUGGUAUGAGGGCCAGAUUGGGAAUUUAGCCAAGACACAGGAGUUAACACCCCUACUCUUACAAUAAGUGCCAUGGGAUCUUUAAUGACCACAGAGUCAGGACCCCCGUUUAACGUCCCAUCCGAAAGACUGCACCCUACACAGGGAAAGGUUCAGGCUCCUACUUGCUGUGUUAAAAAAAGUCAAGUGACACUGACUAGCACCUGUUGUCUCCCUCUCCUCCCUGCUGCAGCGACCACCACAGAACUUCAACAGUGUUUAUCAUGCUGUCCGUGUUGUUGAAGCUGCAACAUAACUACAGCCAUUUCUGACUGAAAAGUCCUGUUACCGAAAUCCCACAUUUGUUUCGGAAAAACAUUCCCUAUUCCCUCAACGCCUGUUCUCUUUACUUGUAUGCAUCGCAUCCAUGUGACCAAUAGGGCCCGGCCUAUAGCAUCUCAUAAUCAAAUCAAUAAAUUGGUUAUAACAAACUCUGAAAAUAAAAGAGAGCCGCACACUCUAGGAGCUCAGAUGCAAAAAUGUAAUUACCAACGUUUCGACAGCCAAGCUAUCUUCAUCAGGGUAUAUAACAAACUCUGAACACGUGACCGCAACAUGGAUGCAGAGGACAUGACCAAUAAAGUUGAAACGGUAAUGUUUACUGGUUGCGCAGGGAGGUUAAAGGGAAGUCUGAUGUGUGGAGUAAAUGUGACUAAGUUGUGUAAAAUACUAGAGUGCUGUUGGACCAUUUUGGUACCAUGUAAACAACACUAAAUAUAUUAGAAGUGUACUAGAGAGUAAAGUUUUUUGGGGUUUUGUAAAGCCUUUAUUACAGCAAAGAUUAAACCAUCACAUUCAUUUGUGAAUGCAAUUUCCCAAAAGGAAAUGGUUCAUUAUUUACGGUAAUUAUUUUGCAUUUCAAAUCAUGAAUGACUCGUAUGCUCUGUGAUGACUUUAACGAUGAUGAUGAUAACAUAAGGAGAUCAAGAAGAAAGAAGCAUUGUUAUUAUGAAUAUUGUUUUUCUGAAAAUUUGGAACAGAGUAAACUACAUUAAAUAAUACCAGCAGCUGUUUUAAUGAAAAAAGUCUGAAGCCUUUAUAGCAGCAUAGCAAAGACUAAAAACAGACCAUUUUGUAAAAUGGUUUAAUCUGACAUGUUGUGUGAUGCUUAGUGCUCACGGAAUCAGUAGGCUAUUAAACAAACACUCAAAAAGAAGCAGGAUCUGUCGAUGAAUAUGGAUGAUUUAUAAAGCCAAGCACAUUUAACAGUUAGGCUAUUGAUUAUAGACCUAAUUAAGUUGGUCUCCUCUCUACUCACUUUUUAUAUACUAUUAUAGAGAAUUUAUAGACUAUUAUAGAGAAUUAAGGCAAGAGCUGUAUUCUUGCCUCCGCCACGUUGUUCUCAACACCAACAUGCUGGUUAACUUUGCUACUGUGCACAUAGUGGUUGCUCAAUGAAAAGUGUUGUGAUUAUACUGCUGGAGGUCAUUUGUGGUUUAGUACAGUACCCUGCAUCACUGCUUCAUUUCUCCAGACCAGUGCAAGGGGGAGUUAGAGCACUGAUUUAUGAUUUUGGGUCCCAAGGCUCUACUGUGGCUCUAACUGACAAUGAAUGGGCGUUCUAAACCAAGUAGAAACUGAUAAUUGUGCACUACUUCAAAAUUGAAUUUCAAUUAACUGAAUGAUGAGGAUGAAGAAGGUGAUUGAAUUUAAAACAAUAGUGUAAGAAUUGCUAUUCUUAUGUUCUGCACGCGCACACCUGGAAAAAUACACACUUUUGUUGUUUCUACUUGUCAGUAUUAUUUAGUAAAACUGUUGUUAUCCUGUUUUUAUUCUAAGAGAAAUGAAAAUUCCAUGAUAUUCUUAAGAUAUGUGUUGACUGAAUAUAAUCAAGUUGAUGCCGCAGUCAUAUAGCCUCGGCACCUACAUCAAGCUGAGUGACUCAGUCAUAUAGCCUCGGCACCUACAUCAAGUUGAUGCCGCAGUC
Long non-coding RNA from Oncorhynchus tshawytscha (Chinook salmon), 4935 nucleotides. NCBI's taxonomy places the organism in Eukaryota, Metazoa, Chordata, Actinopteri, Salmoniformes, Salmonidae. The record is from Ensembl.